RNAcentral lists this long non-coding RNA (1117 nucleotides) under Androctonus crassicauda. The record is from RNAcentral. Lineage: Eukaryota; Metazoa; Arthropoda; Arachnida; Scorpiones; Buthidae.
UAAUAAAAAUAAAAAAUAAAAAAGAAUGACUUUUUGUGUUCAAAAGCUGUUGGAUUUUAAUGGAGUUAGAAAACUUUUUUCUGCUUAAUAAAGUGGAAAACAUUUUAAUGAAAAUGUAAGAAGUUCUUACGUCAUUUUGUUAUGGGAUGAUAUCAUUUCCGGAUGACGUCACCCGCUAAAUCAUCCUGUGAAGGAAACCUUAAUAGUAUCCGUCGGAAAACGUGAUGGAUUAGUUGUUACAGUUGUAAGUCGAUUAGAAAUUUUGAAUAAGUUUCUAUUGUUAAAGUUCUGGAACGUAGCCAGCACAUCCAUUUUCCAGUUAAAAAUGAUACUAGUAGGAAGAGAAUUGUUUAUUAUUGAACAACUUUUGUAUGGUUCCACGUAAUCGCAUCGGAGAGCGGUUUUCCGAAAUGUCAUCUUUUAUUGCGAAGUUUUUAAAGUGGUUUAGGUUAUUACGUGUAACUUUUAAUUUCGUCACAUAAGAAGAAAGGUGUUGCAUUGAUACGUAUUUUUUGCUUUUUAAUCUACACUUGUGUGUAGACUAUACACAAUCACUUCUGUUCAAUUUCAUACUCAUGACAUUUAUACUCUAUAAACGUAAAAUAACAGAUGGCAUUGAAAGAAAAACAUUCGGUAUCCCCAUCUGGCCAAAAAUCAAUUGGUCGAAAGAUUCUAGGAUUUGUUUAUACAGAUGGUGACAUAAAUAUCCCAUUACAGUAGGAUUAUCCGAGCGAAAAUCCAUGUGCAGGCUUGACCUCAGAUAGGGCAAGUAUGUUGUGGUAUAUAACGACCCCAAAGGGUCAAAUACGUGUCUUGACAUUCUUCGUCAGUAUUAUACUUGUUAAUUCUACACUACUUCAUCACUUAAAGGGAUAUCACGUACUUGUUUCUAGUUUGUGUUGUCUGCGUGUUUUCAUAGUCCCGACUUUAAUAAAAAGUGAACCGACGGAGAAAACAAUGUUGCAAUGUUACUUUUAUCCCAUUUAAAAGUCAAUAAUGGAGAUUGUCUGUCAUUUUUUCCCCAUUUGUCUAGACACUGUAAAAUUAUCCGAACAAUUUCUUAUAUUUUUCGAAUAUUUAUGUCGGCAAAUAGUUCCCGUAUCGAGAUAUAACCAAC